RNAcentral lists this ribosomal RNA (440 nucleotides) under uncultured bacterium. RNAcentral describes it as "partial 16S ribosomal RNA". It matches the Rfam family "Bacterial small subunit ribosomal RNA", at positions 338 to 795 of the family's 1533-position model. The record is from RNAcentral.
CCUACGGGUGGCAGCAGUGGGGAAUAUUGGACAAUGGGGGAAACCCUGAUCCAGCGACGCCGCGUGAGGGAAGAAGGAUUUCGGGAUGUAAACCUCUAUCAGUAGGGGAGAAAAUGACGGUACCUGAGUAUGAAGCCACGGCUAACUACGUGCCAGCAGCCGCGGUACUACGGAGGCGGCAAGCGUUAUCCGGAUUUACUGGGUGUAAAGGGAGCGUAGGCGGUUUAUCAAGUCAGAAGUGAAAGUUAGGGGCUCAACUCAUAAACUGCGUUUGAAACUGAUAAACUUGAGUGAAGUAGAGGUAAGCGGAAUUCGUAGUGUAGCGGUGAAAUGCGUAGAUAUUAGGAGGAACACCAGUGGCGAAGGCGGCUUACUGAACUGUCACUGACGCUGAGGCUCGAAAGUGUGGGUAUCAAACAGGAUUAGAUACCCGUGUAGUC